This 70-nucleotide transfer RNA is filed under the name Margaritifera margaritifera (freshwater pearlshell mussel). RNAcentral's name for it is "tRNA-Leu". The record is from RNAcentral. Lineage: Eukaryota; Metazoa; Mollusca; Bivalvia; Unionida; Margaritiferidae.
CGCAAGUUAGUACACUUUCAAUACUCCCGACUUAGGAUCGAGAAAAAAGGCAAUAAUCCCUUACUUGCAA